AGAGUUUGAUCCUGGCUCAGGACGAACGCUGGCGGCGUGCCUAACACAUGCAAGUCGAGCGAUGAAGUCCCUUCGGGGACGGAUUAGCGGCGGACGGGUGAGUAACACGUGGGUAACCUGCCUCAAAGAGGGGGAUAGCCUCCCGAAAGGGAGAUUAAUACCGCAUAACAUUAGUUUUUCGCAUGGAGAACUAAUUAAAGGAGUAAUCCGCUUUGAGAUGGACCCGCGGCGCAUUAGCUAGUUGGUGAGGUAAAGGCUCACCAAGGCGACGAUGCGUAGCCGACCUGAGAGGGUGAUCGGCCACAUUGGAACUGAGACACGGUCCAGACUCCUACGGGAGGCAGCAGUGGGGAAUAUUGCACAAUGGGCGAAAGCCUGAUGCAGCAACGCCGCGUGAGUGAUGAAGGCCUUCGGGUUGUAAAGCUCUGUCUUUUGGGACGAUAAUGACGGUACCAAAGGAGGAAGCCACGGCUAACUACGUGCCAGCAGCCGCGGUAAUACGUAGGUGGCGAGCGUUGUCCGGAUUUACUGGGCGUAAAGGAUGCGUAGGCGGAUAUUUAAGUGAGAUGUGAAAUACCCGAGCUUAACUUGGGUGCUGCAUUUCAAACUGGGUAUCUAGAGUGUGGGAGAGGAGAAUGGAAUUCCUAGUGUAGCGGUGAAAUGCGUAGAGAUUAGGAAGAACACCAGUGGCGAAGGCGAUUCUCUGGACCAUAACUGACGCUGAGGCAUGAAAGCGUGGGUAGCAAACAGGAUUAGAUACCCUGGUAGUCCACGCCGUAAACGAUGAGUACUAGGUGUAGGAGGUAUCGACUCCUUCUGUGCCGCAGUUAACACAAUAAGUACUCCGCCUGGGAAGUACGAUCGCAAGAUUAAAACUUAAAGGAAUUGAUGG
RNAcentral lists this ribosomal RNA (892 nucleotides) under uncultured bacterium. RNAcentral's name for it is "bacterial SSU rRNA". It matches the Rfam family "Bacterial small subunit ribosomal RNA", at positions 8 to 916 of the family's 1533-position model. The record is from RNAcentral.